Molecule: ribosomal RNA, 61 nt
Filed under: Stachybotrys chartarum
Lineage: Eukaryota; Fungi; Ascomycota; Sordariomycetes; Hypocreales; Stachybotryaceae
Description: partial 28S ribosomal RNA
Rfam family: Eukaryotic large subunit ribosomal RNA
Source: RNAcentral
CGUUGACCUCGGAUCAGGUAGGAAUACCCGCUGAACUUAAGCAUAUCAAUAAGCGGAGGAA